RNAcentral lists this ribosomal RNA (468 nucleotides) under uncultured bacterium. RNAcentral's name for it is "partial 16S ribosomal RNA". It matches the Rfam family "Bacterial small subunit ribosomal RNA", at positions 28 to 507 of the family's 1533-position model. The record is from RNAcentral.
GACGAACGCUGGCGGCGUGCUUAACACGUGCAAGUCGAACGGAAAGGCCCUGCUUUUGUGGGGUGCUCGAGUGGCGAACGUGUGAGUAACACGUGAGUAACCUGCCCUUGACUUUGGGAUAACUUCAGGAAACUGGGGCUAAUACCGGAUAGGAGCUCCUGCUGCAUGGUGGGGGUUGGAAAGUUUCGGCGGUUGGGGAUGGACUCGCGGCUUAUCAGCUUGUUGGUGGGGUAGUGGCUUACCAAGGCUUUGACGGGUAGCCGGCCUGAGAGGGUGACCGGCCACAUUGGGACUGAGAUACGGCCCAGACUCCUACGGGAGGCAGCAGUGGGGAAUAUUGCACAAUGGGCGGAAGCCUGAUGCAGCAACGCCGCGUGCGGGAUGACGGCCUUCGGGUUGUAAACCGCUUUCGCCUGUGACGAAGCGUGAGUGACGGUAAUGGGUAAAGAAGCACCGGCUAACUACGUG